AUUGAACGCUAGCGGGAUGCUUUACACAUGCAAGUCGAACGGAGUGGCGAACGGGUGAGUAAUGUAUCGGAACGUGCCCAGUAGCGGGGGAUAACUACGCGAAAGCGUAGCUAAUCCCGCAUACUAUUGGAGCGGCCGCUAUCGGACUAGCUCUUUGGUGUGGUAACGGGGCCACAAGGCGACGAUCCGUAGCUGGUUUGGGAGGACGACCAGCCACACUGGGACUUAGACACUGCCCAGACGCCUACGGGAGGCAGCAGUGGGGAAUUUUGGACAAUGGGGGCAACCCUGAUCCAGCCAUCCCGCGUGUGCGAUGAAGGCCUUCGGGUUGUAAAGCACUUUUGGCAGGAAGGCGGUACCUGCAGAAUAAGCACCGGCUAACUACGUGCCAGCCGCCGCGGUAAUAC
RNAcentral lists this ribosomal RNA (407 nucleotides) under uncultured bacterium. Its description in RNAcentral is "partial 16S ribosomal RNA". It matches the Rfam family "Bacterial small subunit ribosomal RNA", at positions 30 to 526 of the family's 1533-position model. The record is from RNAcentral.